CAGCAGCCGCGGUAAUGCGUAGGGUGCGAGCGUUAAUCGGAAUUACUGGGCGUAACGCGUGCGCAGGCGGUUGUGUAAGACAGGUGUGAAAUCCCCGGGCUUAACCUGGGAACUGCGCUUGUGACUGCACAGCUAGAGUAUGGCAGAGGGGGGUGGAAUUCCACGUGUCGCAGUGAAAUGCGUAGAGAUGUGGAGGAACACCGAUGGCGAAGGCAGCCCCCUGGGCCAAUACUGACGCUCAUGCACGAAAUCGUGGGGAGCAAACAGGAUUAGAUACCCGAGUAGUCCCUGUCUCUUAUAC
RNAcentral lists this ribosomal RNA (301 nucleotides) under uncultured bacterium. RNAcentral describes it as "partial 16S ribosomal RNA". It matches the Rfam family "Bacterial small subunit ribosomal RNA", at positions 509 to 807 of the family's 1533-position model. The record is from RNAcentral.